UACGUAGGUGGCAAGCGUUGUCCGGAUUUACUGGGUGUAAAGGGCGUGUAGGCGGGUCAGCAAGUCAGAUGUGAAAUCCCGGGGCUUAACUCCGGAACUGCAACUGAAACUGUAGAUCUUGAGUACUGGAGAGGAAAGUGGAAUUCCUAGUGUAGCGGUGAAAUGCAUAGAGAUUAGGAGGAACACCAGUGGCGAAGGCGGCUUUCUGGACAGUAACUGACGCUGAGGCGCGAAAGCGUGGGGAGCAAACAGG
RNAcentral lists this ribosomal RNA (253 nucleotides) under uncultured bacterium. Its description in RNAcentral is "partial 16S ribosomal RNA". It matches the Rfam family "Bacterial small subunit ribosomal RNA", at positions 524 to 776 of the family's 1533-position model. The record is from RNAcentral.